Molecule: long non-coding RNA, 854 nt
Organism: Harpia harpyja (harpy eagle)
Lineage: Eukaryota; Metazoa; Chordata; Aves; Accipitriformes; Accipitridae
Exons: 4
Source: RefSeq, a predicted model, not a curated record
GGCGGCGGCGUGAACGCGGCUGCAGAGCCCCAGCGAGCCGCGGGAACGGCGAGCGCCGCGCCGCGCCCGCCGCAGCCGCCGGAGCCGGAGCCGGAGCCGGGCGAGGAGCGAGCCCGGCCGCCCGGAGCCGCCGGGGAGAGGCUCGCGGCCGCGGCAGCCCCGCCGGGAGGCAGCGAGGGGCCCCUCGCCGAAAGAGCGAACACCCCCCCACACCCCUCUCCCGCCCCGCCGCCUCCGCCCGCCCCCCAGCGAAGAGAAACAAAACAAAACCUCGGCACCGCCACGCUCUCCCUCCUUCUCCUCUUGGCAUUUGGUGGUUGUUUUUUUAAUUAUUAUUAUUUUUUCUUUUUUUUUUUUUUAAUUUUUUUCUUGGGGAUUCUCCUUUCUCCUGCCAGACUGACUUGCACCUUCUUGAUAAUUUCUCUUCCCCUCGUUUUUUUUAUACUCUUCUCCCUGCUUCCAAACCCUGUGUCUGUGUGUUUCAAUACUAUCACAACCUCUGCUAAAAAUAGAUCUUUUUAUAUACCCUUCCUCCUCUCUGACCCCAUCCAACACCCCUUGUUAAGGAAACCAUCUUACACCCAGAGCAAGAAACAUAAAUUCACUUGGCUGUCCCAUAUCUCUAAGGGACCUGAUGCAUGAGUGGACUAGAGAAAGGAAGGAGAGAAAAAGUCCCAAGACCUACAGAUCAUCUUGCUGGCAGGAGCAUACUCAACACCUUUAGAUAUCUUCAUUGAGACCGCAGAGUGACUGCAAAAACUGACCAACAGCAGCAGUUUUUUAAAUAUCACUGGUCUUCUGACAAGUGGGUCCCUUGGGGCUUAGAAGAUAAGGCACAUUCUCUCUGUGGCAGU